Molecule: ribosomal RNA, 1690 nt
Filed under: Campylobacter jejuni
Lineage: Bacteria; Pseudomonadati; Campylobacterota; Epsilonproteobacteria; Campylobacterales; Campylobacteraceae
Description: partial 23S ribosomal RNA
Rfam family: Bacterial large subunit ribosomal RNA
Source: RNAcentral
UUUGCGCCGAAGGUAUACCGGUAAGGAGUGCUGGAGCGAAUAGAAGUGAGCAUGCAGGCAUGAGUAGCGAUAAUUAAUGUGAGAAUCAUUAACGCCGUAAACCCAAGGUUUCCUACGCGAUGCUCGUCAUCGUAGGGUUAGUCGGGUCCUAAGUCGAGUCCGAAAGGGGUAGACGAUGGCAAAUUGGUUAAUAUUCCAAUACCAACAUUAGUGUGCGAUGGAAGGACGCUUAGGGCUAAGGGGGCUAGCGGAUGGAAGUGCUAGUCUAAGGUCGUAGGAGGUUAUACAGGCAAAUCCGUAUAACAAUACUCCGAGAACUGAAAGGCUUUUUGAAGUCUUCGGAUGGAUAGAAGAACCCCUGAUGCCGUCGAGCCAAGAAAAGUUUCUAAGUUUAGCUAAUGUUGCCCGUACCGUAAACCGACACAGGUGGGUGGGAUGAGUAUUCUAAGGCGCGUGGAAGAACUCUCUUUAAGGAACUCUGCAAAAUAGCACCGUAUCUUCGGUAUAAGGUGUGGUUAGCUUUGUAUUAGGAUUUACUCCGAAAGCAAGGAAACUUACAACAAAGAGUCCCUCCCGACUGUUUACCAAAAACACAGCACUCUGCUAACUCGUAAGAGGAUGUAUAGGGUGUGACGCCUGCCCGGUGCUCGAAGGUUAAUUGAUGGGGUUAGCAUUAGCGAAGCUCUUGAUCGAAGCCCGAGUAAACGGCGGCCGUAACUAUAACGGUCCUAAGGUAGCGAAAUUCCUUGUCGGUUAAAUACCGACCUGCAUGAAUGGCGUAACGAGAUGGGAGCUGUCUCAAAGAGGGAUCCAGUGAAAUUGUAGUGGAGGUGAAAAUUCCUCCUACCCGCGGCAAGACGGAAAGACCCCGUGGACCUUUACUACAGCUUGACACUGCUACUUGGAUAAGAAUGUGCAGGAUAGGUGGGAGGCUUUGAGUAUAUGACGCCAGUUGUAUAUGAGCCAUUGUUGAGAUACCACUCUUUCUUAUUUGGGUAGCUAACCAGCUUGAGUUAUCCUCAAGUGGGACAAUGUCUGGUGGGUAGUUUGACUGGGGCGGUCGCCUCCCAAAUAAUAACGGAGGCUUACAAAGGUUGGCUCAGAACGGUUGGAAAUCGUUCGUAGAGUAUAAAGGUAUAAGCCAGCUUAACUGCAAGACAUACAAGUCAAGCAGAGACGAAAGUCGGUCUUAGUGAUCCGGUGGUUCUGUGUGGAAGGGCCAUCGCUCAAAGGAUAAAAGGUACCCCGGGGAUAACAGGCUGAUCUCCCCCAAGAGCUCACAUCGACGGGGAGGUUUGGCACCUCGAUGUCGGCUCAUCGCAUCCUGGGGCUGGAGCAGGUCCCAAGGGUAUGGCUGUUCGCCAUUUAAAGCGGUACGCGAGCUGGGUUCAGAACGUCGUGAGACAGUUCGGUCCCUAUCUGCCGUGGGCGUAAGAAGAUUGAAGAGAUUUGACCCUAGUACGAGAGGACCGGGUUGAACAAACCACUGGUGUAGCUGUUGUUCUGCCAAGAGCAUCGCAGCGUAGCUAAGUUUGGAAAGGAUAAACGCUGAAAGCAUCUAAGCGUGAAGCCAACUCUAAGAUGAAUCUUCUCUAAGCUCUCUAGAAGACUACUAGUUUGAUAGGCUGGGUGUGUAAUGGAUGAAAGUCCUUUAGCUGACCAGUACUAAUAGAGCGUUUGGCUUAUCUUU